Long non-coding RNA from Mastomys coucha (southern multimammate mouse), 3380 nucleotides. RefSeq lists it as uncharacterized. Lineage: Eukaryota; Metazoa; Chordata; Mammalia; Rodentia; Muridae. The record is from RefSeq and is a predicted model, not a curated record. The transcript is spliced from 6 exons.
UCCAGCACCGCUCCCGCCAAGUCCCGGGCCCGUGACGACUAGGGAGACGAGGAGGGGAAUGGUAGCACCCGGCGUCCCCACAUCAACCCACUCACUUAAGGGCAUCCUGCCUGCCUGCCCAGGAGCGAUGUUCGCCGGGUCAAGAGCCGGAGGGGCGUCCCCGCGGUCACACCGCGUCUUUCCAUCAAGGACUGGAGCUCUGUUCCCUGUCACCUGACAUUCCCUAGGUCGUCCUGCCCCGGAGCGCUGUCCCCUCGGUCACCUGCCGUCCCCUCGGGCACCGGUGGGAGCGGCGUUCCCAGUUACACCGUGCCUUCCAGUUCGCCGGACUGGAGCUCUGUUCCCUGUCACCUGCCAUUCCCUAGGUCGCCUUGACCGUGAGCGCUGUACCCUCCCUCGGUCACGGGUGGAAGCUGCGUCCCGAGGGCGCGCCGUCCCCUCGGUCACUUGCAGUACCCUCGGGAGCGGCGGCGUCCCCUCGGGCACCGGUAGGAGCGCGCUCCGCCCGUGCGCGGCUCUCCCACCUUGGUACGGUGCCGCAGGGCUAUCCCGCGGCGGGCGGCUCCCCCAACGGCCUACUCGGACGCUCACCUCAUGAGAUAGUCUCGGAAGUCCUUGCUCCGGACAUACUCUGCCGCUUUGCGUACCAGCGCUCCAGCCAUGAUCGUGCCGUAGGCAGAGAAGCCACUACCUAGACAGAUGACACUGCCGACCCAGCGGAGGCCCUCCGCGCUCUCACCCCAGCGCCCUCCUCACGACACUCGGAGAAGCCUUACGGCCGCUCGGCGCUCCACCAAUGAGAACGCUCUAGGCCGCAGCGCGCGUCCGGGAUUGGCUGAUGCGGUCGACACACCCACCUCCGCUUGCCCAAGGGGCGGUGCGCGCCGCGGGGCUGCCGUCGUAAAAGGGCCCGGCGGCCUGGACGGCUGGCUGGCAGUUGCUAGCGACCGCUAGGGUGACACUCUACUGCCCCAGGGUCUCUGCAGGGCGCAGUGGGCAGGUCGGGCUCUUAUCACCCCGCGCCGAUCCCUUUGCAGUGAGAUCCUGCAAACCGGCGGCGACCGGCUUGGGAUGGAGUCACGGAGUGCAGGGGUGUGGGGGGAGGCAGUUAAAAAUAGCUAGGGGCCUCAGUCUCCAGAAGUGUGUCUGCCCACGUGCGGAAAGCACAGGUUACGUAAGUCCCGGAGCGAGCAUACUGCAGGAGCUUUGGCCUGGACGCCCGCACAGGCUCAGAGCCACGCCCCAGACAUGGCGGGAGCCCUUCUGCAGAGUUGAGCUGGAGCCAUUUGUGUGCCAUUCUGCCUUAACUGGACUUGCUCUCCAGGCCUUGGAGAAGGGGAUGUCUGGAGAAAGGUGACAAACAAGUUCCAGGAAGCCAGAUCAACAGCAAAGUGACAUGUCUCUGCCUCCAGAGCUUCCAUGAGGAAGCAGAGCCUCCUGGCUACAGCCAGCAGGAGCAGGGUCUGUGGCUGUCAAGACAUUCCCCCCAACCUGCUCAGCAUGCUGACUGGAAGUCUACCAAUAGCAACAGAGCAAGCAGGAAGCCAUCUUUUAGGGGCUCCCAGUGGCCGUACACAGGAGAAUGUGAAUAUUGAAAAAAAAAUUUAUAAUAGAUGUUGAAGCACUAACAUGAAAUUCUGUGAAUUCCUAAUCCUCGAAAGGAAGAAUACCAAGACUGUAGGAUGGGAGAGAGUGUUUUCAGGUCGUCUCUCUGCUAAAGGAUUCCUAUCUAGAAUGCACAAGGAGCUCAAGAUCCCCAAGAAAAUGACAACCUGUUAAAUAAUAAGCCGGAGCUUCUGGAUUUUUCCCAGGUCCCAGAUGACUCUGAAAGCACAGUCAUUGUGCUUUUAGACCUAGCCUGACAGUUCACACAACGCAGCAAGUACAAGUGGAUUUGGAUGUGCCCAGCAGGGGUGCCUCAUGAUGUGGGAGUGGAUAUCUUGUCUUGCAGCUGGCCAAGUCCCCAAGCACAGCUUCCUGAUGUGAGAAACAGCCUGUGCCCUGAGGAACCUGCCCACUGGCCUUUCCCUGAGGCCUCUCUCUAACAAGGAAGCCUGAUUUGUAGCCAGCUCUGCACAGUGCACAUCCCGAGGCAUCUAGCAAGUGAUGACCAUCACCAGCUUGUCCAUGUGGUCACAGUUUUCAGGUGACUAAACUAGAAGAUCGAAGUCACCAACCAAAACCAUUUGGAGAGGCUGCUGAGCCAUGGCUCCUGCUAAGAAUGGCAUGCACCUUGAAGUUUAUGAGGAGAGGCUGUGCUGUGCAGGGCAACUGUGGCUUGCUGCUGUCAUUAGUGCUGUGGGGGUCUGGCAGAUGCCUCUAAUCCAGUUCUCAGGAGGCCGAGGCAGAAAAGAAGUUCAAGGCUAGCCUGUGUUACCCAGUGAACAGCAAAACAAGAAACUAAACAACUCUCCUCCCAAACUUCCCUGAAGUCCUUGCGCAGCAGCUCGCCCAUUAAAGAAGGCAUCUAAACCCUCCCACCCGAGGAACAACCAGCAUUAACACCUUGGGUUUCAAUGACGCCACCACACCUUGAUCAUCUCAAUACUUUUCACCUGUGCAGGUCUAUUGUGACAUUUAUGAUUCUCAGCUUCUCCCAGUACGCACCAUCAGAGCACAGACUCCAUGUUCCGCUAAGAACUCAGGGCCAGCAGUCACCUCUCCAGGUUGUAGAAGGAACCAGAAGCAAACGUUGGCCGGCAGUGUCCCCUAGUGGCUCUAUCUGGCACAGUGCCCGUCUGAGAGAGCUAACAAAGGCUCUGAGAGACUAUAAAUACCAGCGGGUCUGAGCAGGCCAGCGCUCCUCUGUGGGUGUGGACUUAUCGCCCUCUAGUGGCAGAUUGUAACAUUGCUAACACACAGAACUCUGAGGCAUGGUCAAGUUCCAGAAAGAGAUCCACCAGACAAAGAAGGCCAAGAAGGCCACUUCAGACUCCCCAAAACAUCAAAGCCCCACUUAGAACUUGUAUAGCUGUGGGGUGGGAGAGAGGAGAGACAUCCCACUCCACGUCUCUUCUGUCCACAUGUGGGCUCUUGCAACCCAGAUUGAGUUCCAAUUACCAUUCCCACCGCCAGAAAGCUUCCAGGUUCCUCCUACUGAAAUAAUGAGGGAGGAAAGGGAGGGAGACAGACAGACAGACAUACAGCCAAACAGACAGACAGACAGAGACAGACAAGAAGAUAAACACAUACAGAGACACACAGUGGAGUUAACAGCUGUGCCAUUAUAGAUCUUGUUGGAUCCCUCUGUAUUCCAGAAUUCAGGACAUCCAGGAUUUUAUGAAGAUAAACAGCACAGGUAUAUGCAUCGUGUACCUGUGUUGUCUGAGGUGGAACCUUAUACUACUGUGAAUAAAACUUAUAUUAGUCUCUGCAGGAAA